This 547-nucleotide ribosomal RNA is filed under the name uncultured bacterium. RNAcentral describes it as "bacterial SSU rRNA". It matches the Rfam family "Bacterial small subunit ribosomal RNA", at positions 355 to 896 of the family's 1533-position model. The record is from RNAcentral.
UGGGGAAUAUUGCGCAAUGGGGGGAACCCUGACGCAGCCAUGCCGCGUGAAUGAAGAAGGCCUUAGGGUUGUAAAGUUCUUUCGGUAUUGAGGAAGGUUGAUGUGUUAAUAGCACAUCAAAUUGACGUUAAAUACAGAAGAAGCACCGGCUAACUCCGUGCCAGCAGCCGCGGUAAUACGGAGGGUGCGAGCGUUAAUCGGAAUAACUGGGCGUAAAGGGCACGCAGGCGGUUAUUUAAGUGAGGCGUGAAAGCCCUGGGCUUAACCUAGGAAUUGCAUUUCAGACUGGGUAACUAGAGUACUUUAGGGAGGGGUAGAAUUCCACGUGUAGCGGUGAAAUGCGUAGAGAUGUGGAGGAAUACCGAAGGCGAAGGCAGCCCCUUGGGAAUGUACUGACGCUCAUGUGCGAAAGCGUGGGGAGCAAACAGGAUUAGAUACCCUGGUAGUCCACGCUGUAAACGCUGUCGAUUUGGGGGUUGGGGUUUAACUCUGGCGCCCGUAGCUAACGUGAUAAAUCGACCGCCUGGGGAGUACGGCCGCAAGGUUA